GACGAACGCUGGCGGCGUGCUUAAUACAUGCAAGUCGAACGGACAGGCCCUGCUUUUGCUGGGUGCUCGAGAGGCGAACGGGUGAGUAACACGUGAGUAACCUGCCCUUGACUGUGUGAUAACUUCAGGAAACUGGGGCUAAUACCGGAUAGGAGCUCCUGCUGUAUGUUGGGGGUUGGAAAGUUUCGGCGGGUGGGGAUGGACGCGCGGCUUAUGCGCAUGUAGGUGGGGUAGCGGCUUACCAAGGCUUCGGCGGGUAGCCGGCCUGAGAGGGUGACCGGCCCCAUUGGGACUGGGGUGGGGGCCGGAGUCCUACGGGGGGCAGGAGUGGGAAUUUGUCCGCGAUGGGCGGAGUCCGGGUGGAGCAUCUCCGCGUCGGGGAGGACGGCUGUCGGGUUGGAACGGGCUUUCGCCUGUGACGUAGCCAGUGUGACGGUAAUGGGUAAGGAAGCACCGGCUAACUACGUG
Molecule: ribosomal RNA, 468 nt
Filed under: uncultured bacterium
Lineage: Bacteria
Description: partial 16S ribosomal RNA
Rfam family: Bacterial small subunit ribosomal RNA
Source: RNAcentral